UAGCAAGUUCCUCCCAAGAUAGCUUCUUUCGGCUGGUUGGUUUGUAAGAAAAAGGUAUUCACAGUGGACAACUUGAGGAAAAGGGAAAUGUACGUUACAAAUAUUUGUAUGUGUUACAUGGAACAUGAAGCAACAGUGAACCACCUAUUUAUCCAUUGCCCCUUCACAUAUCAGAUAUGGACUGAUAUUCUGCAUCGUUUCAACAUUCAGUUUGUCCUUUCCUCAAUCUUUAAGGGAGUUGCAGCAGCAUUGGCAUAGUAUUUGUUUUGGUAAUUAUAGGUCAAAGCUGUGGAAAAUGUCCUUAUUGACAGUUAGGUGGACUGUUUGGGAAGAAAGAAAUGGGAGGUGUUUUAUUGACGUGGACUGUGUGGGAAGAGAGAAAUGGGAGGUGCUUUAAUGACAUGUCGAAAUCCUUAGAGGACACUGUGAACAGGGUGAUCUUCUUCAUUGUGGAGUGGGCCGGUGCUGUGGACAAAUUGAAAAACUGUAAUUUCCUUUUUCUAGGUAAGUAGCUGAGGGGCUACCUCAGCUCCUCAGUUAUAUCUUUUUGUCUGUUUUUGUUUUUUCCUCUUUUAUAUACAUAUCUGUUACUUCUCAAAAAAAAAUUUCUAAUCAAUUCAUCCACUGUGGCCCACAGAAUUCUGAAUUCAUCCCUCUGCCUUACAUCGGAUGAACGGAUUGGAUGGCACAUACAGAGCACCGUAGACCCCACAGAGAAUCUGGAAGUUUUGUAUGAUUUUUUGGUUUCUGGAAUUAUCAAGGAAGGCCACGUCUGAUGGAUGGUCUAGAUGAAAUAGAAACGUCACGGUGGGCCUUACAAAGCUCGAAAGUAUGAGCACCCAUCCAUAACGGAUCCUUCUCAACUCACAGAUAAGGUUAUUUUAGUCAUUUGGCAUACUAACGGUUUUAAAGCUGCGAGACAGAAGCCAUUGUGUUCCUCCUAUGAGGUAACUUUCUUUAAUGUGGGGAAAACUAAUUAACUUGCGUAAAAUCCACCCCGUCCAUCGUGUACAUCACCCCCUGCCUGGCCUUGAUGCGAAAUGUCAGGAAGAUUCAACACUCUGGUGGGCCACCCCAUAAAAUUAUACUUAUAAACCUUUAAAUUCACGUAAUAUGGUCCACUUGAGCUUAGGAAUACUGGUAUUUUGGUUAAUUCUUUCGGCUUCGAUGUGACCCAUUAGAUGAAAGGAUUUGGUGAUAUACAAACACCACGGUUGGCCCUGUACAAAACCAAUGGUGGAUUUCACAUCUCAACUUUUCCCGGGAGGCGGAUUCCCAUCUUUAAAAAAAAAAAAACGAACUUUUCCCGGGUACAUGGAGUUCAGCCAAGCCGUGACCGUGGUGGGCCCACUUGAUGUGUGUUGUAUAUCCACUCCGUUCAUCUGUUUUUCCAGAUCAUUUUAGGGCAUGGAAAUAAAAAUGAAGCGAAUACGAAUCUAAGGUGGACCACACCACUUGAAAUAGUGGCGACUGACCAUGAAAAAGUUUUAGAUCAAACUUACUAAUGUGAUCAGGGCGAUACUUUUGUUUUCGCUUUUUCAGGUCUGUGUGACCUUAUCAACUGGUUGGAUGGCAAAUAAACAUUACAGUGGGUCCUAGGAAGUUUUUAAUGGUGGCCGUUCAAUCACCACUGUUUUCGUGUGUUGUGGUCCACCUGAGAUUUUUAUCCGCCUCAUUUUUGGAACCAUAAUCUAAAAUGAUCUGGAAAAAAGGAUGGACGGCGUGGAUAAAUACAUCGAGGUUGCCCCACCGUCAGGGCCACCUGGCUGGAUCCGGGGUCGUACCUAACCCGCGUUCCGCCAGCGCAACUCUUAAAUCUCAUCGUAUUUACCUUCCUCUCUCAUCCACAACUCUAAAGUCCAACAGACGGAGAAGGGGAGAGAGGGAGAGAGAAGAUGAUCAUUCCUGUUCGUUGCUUCACAUGCGGGAAGGUGAUUGGUAACAAAUGGGACACGUAUCUUGAUCUUCUCCAAGCCGACUACACUGAAGGGCGAGUACCAUCUCUCUCUCUCUCUCUCUCUCUCUCUCUCUCUCUCUCACACACACACACACACACACACACACACACACACACACUCACACCAAGGUUUGAAAAUCGGUCUUGGUGCCCUGUAUCGGCCACCACCUUAGCUGGGUCGUGUUGUCCUGUAUCGGGCCAUUUCAGGCAUGUUUCGGGCCAAUACAGCUGUAUUGUCUACGGAAAAAACCAGUUCGUAUUGGUGUAUAUCGGGCCAUACGUACCAGUUCUGGAUGAAAGCCUAAACCCUGUUCAUGGACAACUAGUUGCUGGAAAAUGUUUUUGUCUAACUAGUGCUUGAUUGCUUACUUGUUAUGUGGAUGGCAUCCCACCUGUCCAACAGGCUGGCCCCACCGGGCAGAUAAAUGAGCACAGA
Magnolia sinica is the source of this 2393-nucleotide long non-coding RNA. RefSeq lists it as uncharacterized. The transcript is spliced from 3 exons. Lineage: Eukaryota; Viridiplantae; Streptophyta; Magnoliopsida; Magnoliales; Magnoliaceae. The record is from RefSeq and is a predicted model, not a curated record.